UACGUAGGGUGCGAGCGUUAAUCGGAAUUACUGGGCGUAAAGCGUGCGCAGGCGGCGCGUUAAGAUAGGUGUGAAAGCCCCGAGCUUAACUUGGGAAUUGCGCUUGUGACUGGCGGGCUGGAGUGUGGCAGAGGGAGGUGGAAUUCCACGUGUAGCAGUGAAAUGCGUAGAGAUGUGGAGGAACACCGAUGGCGAAGGCAGCCUCCUGGGCCAGCACUGACGCUCAUGCACGAAAGCGUGGGGAGCAAACAGG
RNAcentral lists this ribosomal RNA (253 nucleotides) under uncultured bacterium. Its description in RNAcentral is "partial 16S ribosomal RNA". It matches the Rfam family "Bacterial small subunit ribosomal RNA", at positions 524 to 776 of the family's 1533-position model. The record is from RNAcentral.